RNAcentral lists this ribosomal RNA (497 nucleotides) under uncultured bacterium. Its description in RNAcentral is "partial 16S ribosomal RNA". It matches the Rfam family "Bacterial small subunit ribosomal RNA", at positions 28 to 507 of the family's 1533-position model. The record is from RNAcentral.
GAUGAACGCUGGCGGCGUGCCUAAUACAUGCAAGUCGAGCGAACAGAUGAGGAGCUUGCUCCUCUGACGUUAGCGGCGGACGGGUGAGUAACACGUGGAUAACCUACCUAUAAGACUGGGAUAACUUCGGGAAACCGGAGCUAAUACCGGAUGAUAUAUUGAACCGCAUGGUUCAAUAGUGAAAGACGGUUUUGCUGUCACUUAUAGAUGGAUCCGCGCCGCAUUAGCUAGUUGGUAAGGUAACGGCUUACCAAGGCGACGAUGCGUAGCCGACCUGAGAGGGUGAUCGGCCACACUGGAACUGAGACACGGUCCAGACUCCUACGGGAGGCAGCAGUAGGGAAUCUUCCGCAAUGGGCGAAAGCCUGACGGAGCAACGCCGCGUGAGUGAUGAAGGUCUUCGGAUCGUAAAACUCUGUUAUUAGGGAAGAACAAAUGUGUAAGUAACUAUGCACGUCUUGACGGUACCUAAUCAGAAAGCCACGGCUAACUACGUG